AAAAAAAAGUAAAUGCGAACAAUAUCGUAAAAUUUGCUCGUCGGGAAGCUCUAGUAGCUGCCUAAGAAACCUCUUUCAGGUUCGAGCGUCUUUAAUUUGACUCCGUUAAGGAUUAAAGACCUAACCCCCAACGGAUGCUCCAACAAGCGUUCUCUGGUUGGCUUGAAGGCUAAGAUUAAAUCAGAGCAUCCUACGUUCGGGAUAAUGAACGAUUCCCGCCUUGAGGGUCAGAAAGGCUAAACCUGUGAACGAGUGGAGGGUUAAUACCCAAUUUGGACAUGGGUUCGACUCCCAUAAGCUCCAUUU
RNAcentral lists this transfer-messenger RNA (306 nucleotides) under Dolichospermum sp. Its description in RNAcentral is "partial transfer-messenger RNA". It matches the Rfam family "transfer-messenger RNA", at positions 79 to 374 of the family's 374-position model. From Rfam's summary of the family: Bacterial tmRNA, also known as 10Sa RNA or SsrA, is named for its dual tRNA and mRNA-like properties. Its role is to liberate the mRNA from a stalled ribosome. Lineage: Bacteria; Bacillati; Cyanobacteriota; Cyanophyceae; Nostocales; Aphanizomenonaceae. The record is from RNAcentral.